Molecule: long non-coding RNA, 1310 nt
Filed under: Numida meleagris (helmeted guineafowl)
Lineage: Eukaryota; Metazoa; Chordata; Aves; Galliformes; Numididae
Description: lncRNA (ENSNMEG00000000146.1)
Source: RNAcentral
UUCUUGAGACAGAUUGCUAAGAACUGCUUAAAUUACCACUUUUCUACGUGCAUGAGGAAUACUUCUCCAGCAAACCGAGCAGCAUGACGUAACAUUACUCUGACAGUCAUAUGAGGGUGUGGUUUGCCUGAGCUGUGUUGAUCUGAAUCUCAUUUUCAGUUUGCAAGAAGUUAUUGUGCUUGGGCCUAUGUUUUCUUCUGAACAGAUCACACUCCAGGAAAAGGAAAGGAAGAAAGACCUCUGUAAUCAUCUUAAAGGAAGACUUGUUGUAGGCUGUCCAAUUCUACCUCUAGUUCCUCAUUUCUGUUGACAAACCAGGUUGUUAAUCAAUGAAAGCAGGUGAGUUUUUUCAUAAUUUGCUCACAGCUCCCUUAAUAUUACCUUUAUUGAAACUGUAAGACUUUAGCUUAUAGAAGAUGGUUUCUUGUGCUGGGGUUUGUGUAGCGCCAGAAAGCAUUAAGUCACAAUUUGUAUUUGAGGUUUUUUACUGCUGGAAGUUCCUCGGUAUAGCAUCUGCAUGAUCAUCUUGGCAAGGUUUAUACUGAUGCUAAGGACACCGAGAUAGCUGCACAGCUAUUUUUUGCAUUUUUUUCUUCUUGACUUUUGAACUAUUCUCUGACAUAUGUAAUGAAGAGAAUAACUGUGUUUUUCUUGGGUGGCUUAUGAUCCAUGCUGUCCUGUGUUAAAAGCAUUUUUGAAAAGAGAUUGUAGUCUUAUUUGCAAAAGUUUUACAAACUUUUUACAUUCCCAGGGCCUAUGCCUUUAUUUCUGAUUAUACAACACGAGUUGCUGUAAUCUGCGUUGUCACCUUAAGAAGAUUUUAGAAAUGAUUUUGGAGUGAUUCGUACAGUGGUUGAUAUUAAAGCAUGUAUAACCCAUUUUAAAAAUGAAUAAUACUUAUUUAAUAUUGUUUUAGUAACAGUAAUACAAUUGUUAAUUUAUGUGGACAAUUCCUGCUAAUCAUUUAUUAUUAUACUUAGAAUUUCUGCUUCACUUGAAAGAGUGAAUAAUCUUUUCCGUUGCUCUGAUCUGCUGUACUGUUUCAGAGAAAAGCCUUUAUAAAAAUGUAUUUUACCUAUAGUUUUCAUCAAGCAGAUAACUUUUAAACAUCCUACAUCAUUUUAACGCUUGCACUCUCUAUACAACGGCAUUGUAAAGAACAUGAAAAUGAGUAAAAUAUCUUGAAACAUACUUAAUUUCUUUAUUUUUGUUCAUACUUGUGUGUGAAUUUUCUAAAUAUUGUUCUGUUAGCAAUACUGAUGAAAUUCAUGUUACAGAAUUCAUCUCUGCAGUAGAUAUGCUGUGACUAG